This 1017-nucleotide ribosomal RNA is filed under the name Bacillus pumilus. RNAcentral describes it as "bacterial SSU rRNA". It matches the Rfam family "Bacterial small subunit ribosomal RNA", at positions 56 to 1055 of the family's 1533-position model. The record is from RNAcentral. Lineage: Bacteria; Bacillati; Bacillota; Bacilli; Caryophanales; Bacillaceae.
UGCAAGUCGAGCGGACAGAAGGGAGCUUGCUCCCGGAUGUUAGCGGCGGACGGGUGAGUAACACGUGGGUAACCUGCCUGUAAGACUGGGAUAACUCCGGGAAACCGGAGCUAAUACCGGAUAGUUCCUUGAACCGCAUGGUUCAAGGAUGAAAGACGGUUUCGGCUGUCACUUGCAGAUGGACCCGCGGCGCAUUAGCUAGUUGGUGGGGUAAUGGCUCACCAAGGCGACGAUGCGUAGCCGACCUGAGAGGGUGAUCGGCCACACUGGGACUGAGACACGGCCCAGACUCCUACGGGAGGCAGCAGUAGGGAAUCUUCCGCAAUGGACGAAAGUCUGACGGAGCAACGCCGCGUGAGUGAUGAAGGUUUUCGGAUCGUAAAGCUCUGUUGUUAGGGAAGAACAAGUGCGAGAGUAACUGCUCGCACCUUGACGGUACCUAACCAGAAAGCCACGGCUAACUACGUGCCAGCAGCCGCGGUAAUACGUAGGUGGCAAGCGUUGUCCGGAAUUAUUGGGCGUAAAGGGCUCGCAGGCGGUUUCUUAAGUCUGAUGUGAAAGCCCCCGGCUCAACCGGGGAGGGUCAUUGGAAACUGGGAAACUUGAGUGCAGAAGAGGAGAGUGGAAUUCCACGUGUAGCGGUGAAAUGCGUAGAGAUGUGGAGGAACACCAGUGGCGAAGGCGACUCUCUGGUCUGUAACUGACGCUGAGGAGCGAAAGCGUGGGGAGCGAACAGGAUUAGAUACCCUGGUAGUCCACGCCGUAAACGAUGAGUGCUAAGUGUUAGGGGGUUUCCGCCCCUUAGUGCUGCAGCUAACGCAUUAAGCACUCCGCCUGGGGAGUACGGUCGCAAGACUGAAACUCAAAGGAAUUGACGGGGGCCCGCACAAGCGGUGGAACAUGUGGUUUAAUUCGAAGCAACGCGAAAAACCUUACCAGGUCUUGACAUCCUCUGACAACCCUAGAGAUAGGGCUUUCCCUUCGGGGACAGAGUGACAGGUGGUGCAUGGUUGUCGU